UCAGACUUUUAAUCUGAGGGUCCAGGG
This 27-nucleotide non-coding RNA is filed under the name Cricetulus griseus (Chinese hamster). The record is from RNAcentral. RNAcentral also lists the same sequence under 1 other name. Lineage: Eukaryota; Metazoa; Chordata; Mammalia; Rodentia; Cricetidae.